This 279-nucleotide ribosomal RNA is filed under the name uncultured bacterium. RNAcentral describes it as "partial 16S ribosomal RNA". It matches the Rfam family "Bacterial small subunit ribosomal RNA", at positions 506 to 784 of the family's 1533-position model. The record is from RNAcentral.
UGCCAGCCGCCGCGGUAAUACGGAGGGCGCAAUCGUUACUCGGAAUCACUGGGCGUAAAGAGCGUGUAGGCGGGUUAAUAAGUUUGAAGUGAACUCCAAUGGCUCAACCAUUGAACUGCUUUGAAAACUGUUAACCUAGAAUAUGGGAGAGGUAGAUGGAAUUUCUGGUGUAGGGGCAAAAUCCGUAGAGAUCAGAAGGAAUACCGAUUGCGAAGGCGAUCUACUGGAACAUUAUGGAAGCGGAGACGAGAACGCGUGGGGCGCAAACAGGAGUAGAUA